Molecule: long non-coding RNA, 4379 nt
Organism: Dama dama (fallow deer)
Lineage: Eukaryota; Metazoa; Chordata; Mammalia; Artiodactyla; Cervidae
Exons: 3
Source: RefSeq, a predicted model, not a curated record
GGGCUUCCCUGGUGGCUCAGAUGGUAAAGAACCCGCCUAUAAUGCAGGAGACCUGGCUGUGAUUCCUGCGUCGGGAAGAUCCCCUGGAGAAGGGAAUGGCCACCCACUGCAGUGUUCUUGCCUGGAGAAGUCCUUGGACAGAGGAGUCUGGAGGGCUACAAUCCAUGGGGUCACAAAGAGUUGGACACGACUGAGCGACCAACACUUUAGUGUUUGCUACCCCUAAUGAACUCCUAGGGUGUCCCCUUGUGGGGCAAGAGGUUCCAGGGGAUGCAGGAUGAAAACAUGGGAACUGUUUUUUUUUUGACAUUGGAACUUUUAAAUUUAUUUUCAUUUCAUCCUUAAAAUAUGUUGACUUUCUGAAGGUAUAGAAUACAUUGGUACAUUUGUAUGAUUUUGUAAACAAAUUUACAAGAAAUGGAAGAAAUACAGAGAAAACUUACUGGUGAGCUGUGUCAUCAAAAAAGGUUUUGGGUUUGUGUUACAAGCCUACCAUGUGCAUUUACCAAAUACCACCUUUUUAAAAAAAAAUUAUAUAUUGGAGUGUAGUUGAUUUACAAUGUUAUGUAGUUUCAGGUGUAUAGCAAAGUGAUUCAGUUAUAGAUAUAGCUAGUCUUUUUCAAACUCUUUUCCCACUUAGCUUAUUACAGUAUAUUGAGGAGGGUUCCCUGUGUUCCACAGUAGGUCCUUGUUCAUUAUCUGUUUUAAAUAUGUGUGAAUGUGUUAAUCCCAAAUUCCUAAUUUAUCUCUCCCCCUGCCUUUCCUGGUGGCUCAAACGGUAGAGAAUGCCUGCAAUGCAAGAGACCAGAGUUCGAUCCCUGGGUCAGGAAGAUCGCCUGGAGGAGGAAAUGGCAACCCACUCCAGUAUCUUUGCCGGGAGAAUUCCAUGGACAGAGGAGCCUGGCCAGGCUACAGACCAUGAGGUUGCAAAGAGUCAGACACGACUUUGAGUGACUGAUACUGCCUUUUCCUACCACCUGUUUUAACUCCUGUCUCUUCGUCUGGAUUGCAAGCCUUAGUAUUGCUCAUGUUUGCGUGGUAUCCCACAUUUAGUUGAAGUUUGUGGGUGAUGCUGAAGUUUGAUGAAGGUGGUGCUGGAGAACUGAGUUCCCCAGACCAGUACUCGAAUGUCCAUGCGUUGAGAGGGUGUCAGCUUAGAGCCUCUCAUUCUCCUGCAAACUUUAUCUUCAGCCAGCCCCGUCCCUCACCCGGAAGGAGGCCGUUUAUAGUUGUUUUAUUUUUAGUUGUAAAUGUUUUCUUUUAGAACAAUUCUAGAUUUACAGGAAAGUUGCAAAGAUGGUACAAAGAGUCCCUGUGUAUCCUUUGUCCAGUUUUCCCUUUUGACACUUGUAACAACCAGGAACCGGUUCUAAUGCAUGAUUAUUAAUCAGUGCCCAGACUUUAUCAGGGUUCUUUCCUGUUUCCUCACGUCCUUUUUCUUGUUUCAGGGUCCCACGUGUGUCUGGCCGUCACAUCUGCUGGGGCCCCUCCGGUCUGCUCCCUGUGUUGGUGAUCUUGGCAUUGUGAGGAGUACUGGUCGGGUGUUUUGUAGAGUUAUCCCCCAGCUGGUGCUGGGAAGAGAGCAGGCGAGGGAUUUGGCGGGACCAAGGGCCUCUUAGGGAGGGACGGACGACUGGGACGGACGCUGUGCGUGUUGGACCCUAUCACUUGGCCACCUUUUAACUUUUUCUUAACACCAUCGUAAAUACUACACAUUCCGUGCUUGUGGUAUAAUGGUACUGGCAAGAAGUUAUUUUUAUUUUUAGAGCAAAUAUUGUUGGAAGCUUUUAUUUACUCUCUCCAAGAGCAGCCUCAUCUAGAAGAAGAUGAGGGAAACCUGUUAAGCUUAAGGCUACAGUUAGAAUUACUUCAGGGAGUCUUAUCAGCUUUGGAAAUUGCUGAACGGAAUUACAGGCAACUCCUUUAAUUGGUGAAAGUUCAGAUGAAAUGUCCAGUGGCAAGUCACUUGAAGAGCACAGAGGGCUGGAGCCUUGCUUUGAUCUUUUUACAGAGCUUUUGGUUUCUUUUCAUUUUUUUAUUAUGGAAAAUUUCAAACAUACACAGAAGUAGAAUAAUGAAUAUAACAAACCCUCAUGUGCCUGUCACCGAGCAUCAGCAGCUUUAAAUUUAUAAUGUUGUUCACUUGUGCCUUUUUCACCUGCUUGGCGGCCCCCAUUGGUUCAAUAUCAGUCCCGGCCACAGUAUCAGUUCAGCUGAAAAUGUUUCAGGAAAAAGUAAAGCUGUUUUUAUAAAAGAGAAUCACUUACAUCAAGAUCAGCUGGGUGCUUGUAGAAAUGCAGAUUUGGGGGGCCUCCAAACACACCAGCUGAAUUGGAAUUCUGGAGGUUGGCCCAGAAAUCUGCAUUUGUAAUACUUUUCUGGUGAUUUCUCCAACCCCACAACACGAAAUGCUUGAUCGUGCUGCAUGCGCGUCCAGUCGUGAAGUCGUGUCCGACUCGCUGCGAUCCCCUGUAAUGUGGCCCGCCAGGCUCCUCCUCUCUGCAUGGGGUUCCCCAGGCAAGAGCAGCGGAGUGGAUGGCCCUUCCUUCCUCCAGGGGAUCUUCCCACCAGGGAUGGGGCCCACGUCUCCUGGGUGUCCUGAUGUGGCAGGCAGGUUCCUUCUCGCUGAGGCCCUGGGAAGCCUGUCUUCCACUGGACACGAGAUGAUGUCAGUUAUUUAAUAGGAGCCUGUUGACUUGGGGCGCUUGUGAGACUCAAGGAAGGAAGAACAAUUUAAAAUUAAAAAAAAUAAAACUAAAAUAGUAAUGUCAACGCCUAAGAUCUGAAGCGAUCUCUGCUCCUGAUCACCGUACGUGAAUAUUGUUCUGAAGAAUCUUCCUGUGAGGAGUUAUGUGUGCUAUAACCACAAAGGAAUGUAAAAACUUCAGGGCAGAAUACACACCACCUACCACCUCAAAGGCCUUUUUUUGUUUUCCCACCCCCCUGUAACUUUAACCCUUUCUCUGGGAGGCAGUGUAAAUAAUAACCUCUUUACAUUUUAUAAAUACUCUGUAUAAGUAAUCAGGAAAAGAGCUGUGAGCUGGUGGCCUGACAAUCAGCUGCCAGUGCUGUAGCCGAGUGCCUCGUGGUGCGGAUGGGCCUGCCCCGGCCUGCCGGGUCCCAGCCCAGCAGGGAGACUCGAGCAGGUGGAACUCAGGACGCUCCCUGCUCCCAGGUGACAGGUGUGCUCGCCGUGUGACAGCCCCUGAUUCUUGACCUGUAGGACGGCAGUGCAGUAUGAUAACCAUGUCGUUAACAUUUUGCUAUAUAAAAAAGUUAGUUUUUCUCAGCUGGUUUCUUUUGGAAUAGCCUCAUAUUUGUAGCCCAUUUUAUAUUUUUCAACAGGUAGCCUUUUUUUAAGCUUGUAGAUGUAUUUUAAUAUAUUUGCUGUGAGUGUAUUGAUAUGUACAAUAUAUGAUGAGCUAAAGAAAGCAAACUCUCUCUCAGAAUGCUUCAGUGUGACAGCUGUGUAAUGAGUUGGGUUUGAUUAAGAACAUCAUUGACCCACACACUAGUUCAGAUAAUUCUGGACUUUUUUUUUUUUUUUUUGGCAACAUGUAUGCCUUACAUAGGAGAAAAGAAUUUCAUUUUAAGCAUCUAGGCUAGUGAAUUUUGAGAGAGAAGUUGCUCUUAUCCAAAAGUGAAACCACUGUGAUGUCAUUUUUAAAAACUCAUAGUUUUUUUUUUUCCUCUUUGAGGUCCAUGUUCAAAGUCCAUCCUGAUAAUGUCUUUUUUUCCCCUUUUGCUACACUGGACAAGCGGCUUGCUUAACGUGCUGUAACUGCAGCCUUUAAUUAUGGUGAGUGAAUCUCUAAGCCAUUCUGGACUUAGAAGCCAGAGGUGGAUGAGCUUGCAGUUAUUCUGCACAUUUAAAAUAUCUCCUCUGACCAACCAGUAAUUGUAAAAUUCUGUAGCUUCAGCUUCUUACUGUAGAACCGAAGGCUGUGAUCUACUGGUUACCUCUCAGAUUAGCCUCUGCAUUUAAAGCAUCUUUCACGCUGCAGAUUCUUCCUCGGAACCCUCCAUAAAUUCAACCUGUGCUCCUUUCAGAAGGAAAAAAAAUUCCUUUGCCCAGGGCUGCCUGGCAGCGUGCCUCCUUGGAGAAAGGUUCAGUGUCAGCAGCAAGUGUUACUUUCCAAGGAUGUAGCUUGCCGGUUCUGGGCCCAGAGCCCCCCCGCGCCCCCUCCCCCCGACUCUGACUUCAGACCGUCAUUAAAACGCAGCGCACCCGGAUGCUGAUUGUUGGGUCAUCCCAGUGCACCAGCCCUGAGCACCCUGCCUCACGCGUGGAAUAAAAUCUUUGUGCGAGAACUUCAGAGCAGAAAGGCCAGUUCACAGGGGAGGGAGGUGGGGCCCGGGGAAGGGAAGCAGUGGGUCCA